Molecule: ribosomal RNA, 439 nt
Filed under: uncultured bacterium
Lineage: Bacteria
Description: bacterial SSU rRNA
Rfam family: Bacterial small subunit ribosomal RNA
Source: RNAcentral
AAAUGACGGUACCUGACUAAGAAGCCCCGGCUAACUACGUGCCAGCAGCCGCGGUAAUACGUAGGGGGCAAGCGUUAUCCGGAUUUACUGGGUGUAAAGGGAGCGUAGACGGCAGCGCAAGUCUGAAGUGAAAGCCCGGGGCUCAACCCCGGAAUGGCUUUGGAAACUGUGCAGCUAGAGUACCGGAGGGGUAAGCGGAAUUCCUAGUGUAGCGGUGAAAUGCGUAGAUAUUAGGAGGAACACCAGUGGCGAAGGCGGCUUACUGGACGGUAACUGACGUUGAGGCUCGAAAGCGUGGGGAGCAAACAGGAUUAGAUACCCUGGUAGUCCACGCGGUAAACGAUGAAUGCUAGGUGUUGGUGAGCAAAGCUCAUCGGUGCCGCCGCAAACGCAUUAAGCAUUCCACCUGGGGAGUACGUUCGCAAGAAUGAAACUCAAA